CAGCCGCCGCGGGAAUACGGAGGGGGCUAGCGUUGUUCGGAAUUACUGGCGUAAAGCGCACGUAGGCGGCUUUGUAAGUUAGAGGUGAAAGCCCAGGGCUCAACCCUGGAAUUGCCUUUAAGACUGCCGAGCUAGUAGGUGAGAGAGGUGAGUGGAAUUCCGAGUGUAGAGGUGAAAUUCGUAGAUAUUCGGAAGAACACCAGUGGCGAAGGCGGCUCACUGGCUCAUUCUAGACGCUGAGGUGCGAAAGCGUGGGGAGCAAACAGGAUUAGAUACCCCCGUAGUCCCUGUCUCUUAUACA
This 301-nucleotide ribosomal RNA is filed under the name uncultured bacterium. RNAcentral describes it as "partial 16S ribosomal RNA". It matches the Rfam family "Bacterial small subunit ribosomal RNA", at positions 509 to 808 of the family's 1533-position model. The record is from RNAcentral.